Xenia sp. Carnegie-2017 is the source of this 644-nucleotide long non-coding RNA. RefSeq lists it as uncharacterized. NCBI's taxonomy places the organism in Eukaryota, Metazoa, Cnidaria, Anthozoa, Malacalcyonacea, Xeniidae. The record is from RefSeq and is a predicted model, not a curated record. The transcript has 2 exons.
GUACAUUCCACAGUUGUUGUGACUCAAAGGGACCAACACUGGUCAUUGUUAAAUAUGGAGGUUGUAUUUUUAGAGGAUUUGCAUCAAAGUCUUGGGGAGGAAGUAGCCGUUACAUAAGAGCAUCAGAUUCUUUUAUUUUUUCUCUUAAAAACCCGGCUGGUCUGGCCCCUUUCAAAUCCUCAAUAUAUAGAUAUCAACAAUAUGCAAUGUACACAAGCAGCAGCUAUGGACCCACGUUUGGAGGUGGUCAUGAUUUGAAAAUCGGCAACAAUCCAGAACCAGCACAAGCUCGUACACAAACUUUGGUCAUACGUACAAGCUCCCAUCAGGCUAUUCGUACGCGAGCAACAAAGCAAAGAAAUUGUUGGGUGGCUCCUACCAAUUUCGUCCAAACGAAAUUGAAGUGUUCUAUUUCUCCUCAUAAUAAUCGGACCAUUCACGAAUAAAAAGUGUCAUUAAGAAAGCAUGUUUUCUCCUUUUUUGUUAAGUUAACCGAAUUAGCUGUCGCACGUAGCAAAUAAUCUCAUAGAUAAUAAUUGUAAUCAUUCAAUAACUAUGCAAAGUAACCAAUAUUGUAAUUCCUUAAAUGAGAAUUGAAAUACUUAUUUUGCACUUAUUAAUUGCAACAAAACUUUUCUUUUCGA